GUGCUCACUUUGGCAGCACAUAUACUAAAAUUGGAACAAUACAAAGUAGAUGAGCAUGGUCCUUGCACAAGGAUGACAUGCAAACUCAUGAAGCAUUCCAUACUUUU
Choloepus didactylus (southern two-toed sloth) is the source of this 107-nucleotide small nuclear RNA. The record is from RefSeq and is a predicted model, not a curated record. NCBI's taxonomy places the organism in Eukaryota, Metazoa, Chordata, Mammalia, Pilosa, Megalonychidae.